RNAcentral lists this ribosomal RNA (1458 nucleotides) under uncultured prokaryote. RNAcentral describes it as "partial 16S ribosomal RNA". It matches the Rfam family "Bacterial small subunit ribosomal RNA". The record is from RNAcentral.
UGGCUCAGAACGAACGCUGGCGGCGUGGAUAAGACAUGCAAGUCGAACGGGAACCUUAGAGCUUGCUUUGGGGUUCUAGUGGCGGACGAGCGAGUAACACGUGAGCAACCUGCCCGAAAGUGGGGGAUAGCCCGGGGAAACUCGGAUUAAUACCGCGCAUCCUGCUAAGAUUAAAGGUGGCUUCGGCUGCCGCUUUUGGAUGGGCUCGCGGCCUAUCAACUUGUUGGUGAGGUAACGGCUCACCAAGGUUACGACGGGUAACUGGUCUGAGAGGACGACCAGUCGCGCUGGAACUGAGACACGGUCCAGACACCUACGGGUGGCAGCAGUCGAGAAUCAUUCACAAUGGGCGAAAGCCUGAUGGUGCGACGCCGCGUGGAGGAUGAAGGUCUUAGGACUGUAAACUCCUGUCAUCAGGGAGUAAAGCUCAGGCGUUAAUAGCGUCUCGAGCCUGAUAGUACCUGAAGAGGAAGGGGCGGCUAACUCCGUGCCAGCAGCCGCGGUAACACGGAGGCCCCGAGCGUUGUUCGGAAUUACUGGGCGUAAAGGGUGCGUAGGCGGUAAGGAAAGUCAGUUGUGAAAGCCCGGGGCUCAACCUCGGAAUUGCAGCCGAUACUGCCUUACUAGAGGACUGGAGAGGAGAUUGGAAUUCACGGUGUAGCAGUGAAAUGCGUGGAUAUCGUGAGGAACACUAGUGGCGAAGGCGAGAUGCUGGACACCUACUGACGCUGAGGCUCGAAGGCCAGGGUAGCGAAAGGGAUUAGAUACCCCUGUAGUCCUGGCAGUAAACGGUGCACGUUUGGUGUGAGAAGGUUCGACCCUUUUCGUGCCGGAGUUAACGCGUUAAACGUGCCGCCUGGGGAGUACGGCCGCAAGGCUAAAACUCAAAGAAAUUGACGGGGACCCGCACAAGCGGUGGAGUAUGUGGCUUAAUUCGAUGCAACGCGAAGAACCUUACCUGGGCUUGACAUGCAUCUCUAAAACGGAGAAACCCGUGGAGUGGAGCAAUCCACAAUUUGCACAGGUGCUGCAUGGCUGUCGUCAGCUCGUGUCGUGAGAUGUUGGGUUAAGUCCCGCAACGAGCGCAACCCCUGUGAUUAGUUACCAGCACAUAAUGGUGGGGACUCUAGUCAGACUGCCCAGAUCAACUGGGAGGAAGGUGGGGACGACGUCAAGUCAGUAUGGCCCUUACGCCCAGGGCUGCACACGUACUACAAUGCCCAGUACAAUGUGAUCCGAUCCUGUAAAGGGGAGGUAAUCCUGAAAACUGGGCUCAGUUCGGAUUGUGGGCUGCAACUCGCCCACAUGAAGCCGGAAUCGCUAGUAAUGGCGCAUCAGCUACGGCGCCGUGAAUACGUUCCCGGGUCUUGUACACACCGCCCGUCACAUCAUGGAAGCCGAUUGCUCCCGAAGUAUCUGUGCCAACCUCGUGAGGCAGGGUCCUAAGGAGCGGUUGGU